AAUGAACGCUGGCGGCGCGCCUAAUACAUGCAAGUCGAGCGAGAAGACGUAGCAAUACGUUUGUAAAGCGGCGAACGGGUGAGGAAUACAUGGGUAACCUACCCUCGAGUGGGGAAUAACUAGCCGAAAGGUUAGCUAAUACCGCGUACGCUCCUUGGACUUCGGUUCAGGGAGGAAAGCGAUACCGUGGGUAUCGCGCUCUUGGUUGGGCGUCAUGUCCUAUCAGCUUGCUGGUGAGGUAACGGCUCACCAAGGCUUCGACGGGUAGCUGGUCUGAGAGGACGAUCAGCCACACUGGCACUGCGACACGGGCCAGACUCCUACGGGAGGCAGCAGUAAGGAAUAUUGCGCAAUGGGCGAAAGCCUGACGCAGCGACGCCGCGUGGGGGAGUGAAGGUCUUC
This 402-nucleotide ribosomal RNA is filed under the name uncultured bacterium. RNAcentral's name for it is "bacterial SSU rRNA". It matches the Rfam family "Bacterial small subunit ribosomal RNA", at positions 29 to 419 of the family's 1533-position model. The record is from RNAcentral.